AAGGAAGGUUUUGGAUAGGAGUAGCGCUCACUACCUCCUUUCCCUUUGCAAUUCUAGCACUCUUCCAUCUAGGCUUUUUCACUACCUCCCUUAUUACCUCAUCACUUGUAUUUUUCCCCAUCUCCACACCUUUUUCUUUUUCAACUUCACCAUUAUUUUUAUUCUUUUCAACUUCUUCCUCAUCACUCCACACUCCUACUUCACCAUCAACAUUUUCCUCCACUAUUUCCUCCUCAAUUUCUUUCUCUUUCUCUCUUUGUUCACUCUCAACUCUUUUUUUAUUCUCACUACCCAACUCCCUCCCACUUCUCGUCAUGAUCGCCUUA
Molecule: long non-coding RNA, 326 nt
Filed under: Lathyrus oleraceus (garden pea)
Lineage: Eukaryota; Viridiplantae; Streptophyta; Magnoliopsida; Fabales; Fabaceae
Description: Pisum sativum (pea) long non-coding RNA (PSAT_LNC026917)
Source: RNAcentral